GGACUACACGGGUAUCUAAUCCUGUUUGCUCCCCACGCUUUCGUGCAUGAGCGUCAAUCUUAGCCCAGGGGGCUGCCUUCGCCAUCGGUAUUCCUCCACAUAUCUACGCAUUUCACUGCUACACGUGGAAUUCUACCCCCCUCUGCCAGAUUCUAGCCAUACAGUCACAAAUGCAGUUCCCAGGUUAAGCCCGGGGAUUUCACAUCUGUCUUGUAUAACCGCCUGCGCACGCUUUACGCCCAGUAAUUCCGAUUAACGCUUGCACCCUACGUAUUACCGCGGCUGCUGGCAC
This 292-nucleotide ribosomal RNA is filed under the name uncultured bacterium. Its description in RNAcentral is "partial 16S ribosomal RNA". The record is from RNAcentral.